GAAAUGCGAUAAGUAGUGUGAAUUGCAGAAUUCAGUGAAUCAUCGAAUCUUUGAACGCACAUUGCGCCCUUUGGUAUUCCAAAGGGCAUGCCUGUUCGAGCGUCAUUUGUACCCUCAAGCUUUGCUUGGUGUUGGGCGUCUUGUCUCUAGCUUUGCUGGAGACUCGCCUUAAAGUAAUUGGCAGCCGGUCUACUGGUUUCGGAGCGCAGCACAAGUCGCACUCUCUAUCAGCAAAGGUCUAGCAUCCAUUAAGCCUUUUUUUCAACUUUUGACCUCGGAUCAGGUAGGGAUACCCGCUGAACUUAAGC
RNAcentral lists this unclassified non-coding RNA (308 nucleotides) under plant metagenome. Its description in RNAcentral is "partial contains 5.8S ribosomal RNA, internal transcribed spacer 2, and large subunit ribosomal RNA". The stretch from base 1 to 105 matches the Rfam family "5.8S ribosomal RNA", at positions 50 to 154 of the family's 154-position model. The record is from RNAcentral.